RNAcentral lists this non-coding RNA (69 nucleotides) under Clostridium botulinum C str. Eklund. RNAcentral describes it as "RAGATH-18 RNA". It matches the Rfam family "RAGATH-18 RNA". Rfam says of the family: Actinobacteria, Firmicutes, Fusobacteria, Thermotogae (1 example). Nearby to self-cleaving ribozyme genes Lineage: Bacteria; Bacillati; Bacillota; Clostridia; Eubacteriales; Clostridiaceae. The record is from Rfam by way of RNAcentral.
CCUUUGGAGUGUUACAACCACUUGAGUAGUAUUAGUAAUAAUACGAAAAAGAACACGUUGAAAAAGGAA